GAAUUCGAUUUGGUUUUCAAGAAGGAACUUCUAAUUUUUUUAUACAAUUUUUAUAAAAAAAGAUGUAGAAAAUUUAUUUUAUUUAAUAAUUAUAAAUUAUUGAGAAUUAGAAAAGUAUUCUAGCUAAAUUUGUGCCAGCAGCAGCGGUUAAACAAAUAGAGAAAUUCUUUUUUUAGUAAAAUUUAAUAAUAUUAUUAAAUUAUUUAUUAAAAAUAAAGGUGAAAUUUAUUUUUAAAAUUAAAUUAAUAUAAAAUUAAAAUUCUUGAAUUAAACUAGGAUUAGAUACCCUAUUAUUUAAGAGCUAUAUAUUGUUAGUAAAUAAUUAUUACGAAAGCAAAAAAUUAUGGCGGUAUUUUAAGCUUUUCAGAGGAAUUUGCUCUUUAAUGGAUAAAACACCUAAAUCUUACUUGAAUUUGUUAAGUCAAUUUGUAUACCACUAUAAAAUUAAUUAUUUGCUUUAAUUAAUAAAGUUUAUAAUUUUUAAAACAAAUUAAGUCAAGGUGCAGUAAAAAUUUAAGAAUGAAGUGAAUUACAUUUCUUCUAAGAGAUUAAUGCAAUUAAAAAUAGAAUUAGGAUUUGAAAGUAAAAUUAAAAUAUAAUGUUAAUUUGAAUAAAGCUCUAAAAUAUGUACAUAUCGCCCGUCACUCUUUAUUAAGAUAAGUCGUAACAAAGUUAAAAUACUGGAAAGUGUUUU
Molecule: non-coding RNA, 694 nt
Filed under: Rhipicephalus evertsi
Lineage: Eukaryota; Metazoa; Arthropoda; Arachnida; Ixodida; Ixodidae
Source: RNAcentral